RNAcentral lists this ribosomal RNA (495 nucleotides) under uncultured bacterium. RNAcentral's name for it is "bacterial SSU rRNA". It matches the Rfam family "Bacterial small subunit ribosomal RNA", at positions 29 to 524 of the family's 1533-position model. The record is from RNAcentral.
AACGAACGCUGGCGGCAGGCCUAACACAUGCAAGUCGAACGGCAGCGCGGGGGCAACCCUGGCGGCGAGUGGCGAACGGGUGAGUAAUAUAUCGGAACGUACCCAAGAGUGGGGGAUAACGUAGCGAAAGUUACGCUAAUACCGCAUACGAUCUAAGGAUGAAAGCAGGGACCGCAAGGCCUUGUGCUCCUGGAGCGGCCGAUAUCUGAUUAGCUAGUUGGUGGGGUAAAGGCCUACCAAGGCAUCGAUCAGUAGCUGGUCUGAGAGGACGACCAGCCACACUGGGACUGAGACACGGCCCAGACUCCUACGGGAGGCAGCAGCGGGGAAUUUUGGACAAUGGGGGCAACCCUGAUCCAGCAAUGCCGCGUGAGUGAAGAAGGCCUUCGGUUGUAAGCUCUUUGUUCAGGGAGAACGGUUGUGGCUAUAUCCAUGGCUAAUGACGGUACCUGAAGAAUAAGCACCGGCUAACUACGUGCCAGCAGCCGCGGUAAU